This 73-nucleotide non-coding RNA is filed under the name bovine gut metagenome. Its description in RNAcentral is "TPP riboswitch (THI element)". The stretch from base 6 to 68 matches the Rfam family "TPP riboswitch aptamer (THI element)", at positions 11 to 88 of the family's 105-position model. Rfam says of the family: Vitamin B(1) in its active form thiamin pyrophosphate (TPP) is an essential coenzyme that is synthesised by coupling of pyrimidine and thiazole moieties in bacteria. The previously detected thiamin-regulatory element, thi box was extended, resulting in a new, highly conserved RNA secondary structure, the THI element, which is widely distributed in eubacteria and also occurs in some archaea. The record is from RNAcentral.
AUAUGUGGGGUGCCUGUACAGGCUGAGAUCAUACCCGUAACCUGAUCCGGAUAAUGCCGGCGUAGGGAAGGCA